UUUAUGGAGAGUUUGAUCCUGGCUCAGGAUGAACGCUGGCGGCGUGCCUAAUACAUGCAAGUCGAGCGAACGGACGAGAAGCUUGCUUCUCUGAUGUUAGCGGCGGACGGGUGAGUAACACGUGGAUAACCUACCUAUAAGACUGGGAUAACUUCGGGAAACCGGAGCUAAUACCGGAUAAUAUUUUGAACCGCAUGGUUCAAAAGUGAAAGACGGUCUUGCUGUCACUUAUAGAUGGAUCCGCGCUGCAUUAGCUAGUUGGUAAGGUAACGGCUUACCAAGGCAACGAUGCAUAGCCGACCUGAGAGGGUGAUCGGCCACACUGGAACUGAGACACGGUCCAGACUCCUACGGGAGGCAGCAGUAGGGAAUCUUCCGCAAUGGGCGAAAGCCUGACGGAGCAACGCCGCGUGAGUGAUGAAGGUCUUCGGAUCGUAAAACUCUGUUAUUAGGGAAGAACAUAUGUGUAAGUAACUGUGCACAUCUUGACGGUACCUAAUCAGAAAGCCACGGCUAACUACGUGCCAGCAGCCGCGGUAAUACGUAGGUGGCAAGCGUUAUCCGGAAUUAUUGGGCGUAAAGCGCGCGUAGGCGGUUUUUUAAGUCUGAUGUGAAAGCCCACGGCUCAACCGUGGAGGGUCAUUGGAAACUGGAAAACUUGAGUGCAGAAGAGGAAAGUGGAAUUCCAUGUGUAGCGGUGAAAUGCGCAGAGAUAUGGAGGAACACCAGUGGCGAAGGCGACUUUCUGGUCUGUAACUGACGCUGAUGUGCGAAAGCGUGGGGAUCAAACAGGAUUAGAUACCCUGGUAGUCCACGCCGUAAACGAUGAGUGCUAAGUGUUAGGGGGUUUCCGCCCCUUAGUGCUGCAGCUAACGCAUUAAGCACUCCGCCUGGGGAGUACGACCGCAAGGUUGAAACUCAAAGGAAUUGACGGGGACCCGCACAAGCGGUGGAGCAUGUGGUUUAAUUCGAAGCAACGCGAAGAACCUUACCAAAUCUUGACAUCCUUUGACAACUCUAGAGAUAGAGCCUUCCCCUUCGGGGGACAAAGUGACAGGUGGUGCAUGGUUGUCGUCAGCUCGUGUCGUGAGAUGUUGGGUUAAGUCCCGCAACGAGCGCAACCCUUAAGCUUAGUUGCCAUCAUUAAGUUGGGCACUCUAAGUUGACUGCCGGUGACAAACCGGAGGAAGGUGGGGAUGACGUCAAAUCAUCAUGCCCCUUAUGAUUUGGGCUACACACGUGCUACAAUGGACAAUACAAAGGGCAGCGAAACCGCGAGGUCAAGCAAAUCCCAUAAAGUUGUUCUCAGUUCGGAUUGUAGUCUGCAACUCGACUACAUGAAGCUGGAAUCGCUAGUAAUCGUAGAUCAGCAUGCUACGGUGAAUACGUUCCCGGGUCUUGUACACACCGCCCGUCACACCACGAGAGUUUGUAACACCCGAAGCCGGUGGAGUAACCUUUUAGGAGCUAGCCGUCGAAGGUGGGACAAAUGAU
Molecule: ribosomal RNA, 1494 nt
Filed under: Staphylococcus aureus
Lineage: Bacteria; Bacillati; Bacillota; Bacilli; Caryophanales; Staphylococcaceae
Description: partial 16S ribosomal RNA
Rfam family: Bacterial small subunit ribosomal RNA
Source: RNAcentral